Molecule: ribosomal RNA, 440 nt
Filed under: uncultured bacterium
Lineage: Bacteria
Description: bacterial SSU rRNA
Rfam family: Bacterial small subunit ribosomal RNA
Source: RNAcentral
CCUACGGGCGGCAGCAGUGGGGAAUCUUGCGCAAUGGCCGAAAGGCUGACGCAGCGACGCCGCGUGCGGGAGGACGCCCUUCGGGGUGUAAACCGCUGUCAGCGGGGACGAACCCCCGGGGGAGGCAAUGCCCCUGGGCUGACGGUACCCGCAGAGGAAGCACCGGCUAACUCCGUGCCAGCAGCCGCGGUAAUACGGAGGGUGCGAGCGUUGUUCGGAAUUAUUGGGCGUAAAGCGCACGUAGGCGGUCGGGUAAGUCUUCAGGUGAAAGGGCGGGGCUCAACCCCGUGCUUGCCGGGGAUACUGUCCGACUGGAGACAGGGAGAGGCCAGUGGAAUUCCGGGUGUAGCGGUGGAAUGCGUAGAGAUCCGGAAGAACACCGGAGGCGAAGGCGGCUGGCUGGCCCUGAUCUGACGCUGAGGUGCGAAAGCGUGGGGAGC